GCAGUGUGGAGAAUGGAUUGGAGGGGUCAGAAUGAAUGUAGAGAGAAUUCAAAGGCUCCUGCAGGAGUCCAAGCAAGAGGAUUGCAGAUUGUAGCCUGGAAGAGGCCAGUAGCUGUGGUGACAAUGGACACCAGGUGUGAGCCACCGCACCUGGCCAAUAGUGGGUAUUAAAAGAUAAACAAGUCUUAAUGCUCAAAGUAUGUUAAAAAUAGAUGUAGUAAAACAAUCCGUCUACAAAUGUUCUUUUGUUAUAUUUUAGGAGGCCUGUCUUCUGGGAGUGACCUUUGUUAUUCCACCUCUUGGAGCUAGGCAUAGUCCUAUACCUAGUCACUGGGAUGGUGGAAGAGGGAGAAAAGGAAGGAUGAAGGAAAGAGCUAUUUGCUAGUAUCUCCACAUCUAGAAGAUGGUUUUAGAUGAUAACCAUAGGUCUACAUGAGCAUUUUUAGUAAAGUGCUUGUGUGUAAUUCUGGACAAAGUUUAUUAUUUUGCACUAUCUAAGCUUUAUGAAUGUCCUGGGGUGAUAAUGUGUGAUAAAAAGUAGAACUAGUGAAUUAGCCAAUUUGUAAAUUUUUUCUUGUUAUAAUUUAUAGAAAAGAUGCAACUUGGACAUGGAACUGUUAAACCAUCUCUGAGCUUUGUAUGCCAGGACUUGUUCAUUAGGUUGGCAGCAGAGCAGCAAAAGGAAGUAUAAAGAGAGAGAUGUAUGCAGAUGUGUCGAUAUUUACAUUUUGAUGAUAGCCAUUGUUGUAUGUGCAUCUCUUUUAGCUGUACUAUAGGAAUACAUUAGGUAUUUCAAUGAAAACAUACCUUGCUAAUAUUUGAAUAGUAUAGAUCUGCUAAUGGAUUCUCUUAGAAACAUUAUACUUAGUGUAUUCUAUUGCUGUAUAUUUCAUUUUAAAGUGAGCACUAAAGGAAUGCGGUAUUUUAAUAAAAACUCUGCCAACGCUUUUACUUAGAGGCGUGUUGCCAAUUUUUGUCUUUUAUGAAAAUUUGGCCCAAGAAAGGCAGGAUUACAUUGUUUUUCCAACAGAUUGAGUGGGUGUAGUGUAUUCUUGAUGAUCAAAAUACUCAUAUAGCUUUGAGAUUUUGAAUUGGUAAAUACUCAAGAUGUGUGAAAAAGCAUGAUACAUACUAUAUGAUCUCAGUCCCAUAAAAUUGACUAUUGUAUCUACACCCACACAGGACCUAGAAGGACAUGUUAAACUGUAAACUGCUUGUGAUUGUGGAUGACCUUUUUCGUUGCUUCUUGUGUUUUUCAGUUUCCUAUAAUGCACAUAGUAACUUAAAAAAAUAAAGAUUAUUUUUGAAACCUAAAAAAAAGAGGUUACAGAAUUGAAUACUCCCUGAGAUAAGGUAAAAUCAUCUUAUGCUAACGGUUGCAAGAUAAUGGUAUAAGUAAGCUUUCGUCGUACAUAUCAAUGAACUUUAAGAUUUGGAAGACAAAAUUCAGUUUAUGUAUUCAAUUAAAUGUGCUCAGAUUGUAUUGUGCUAGAUAGGCACAUUAUUCUAACAUAAUAUGAAUGAAUCAAUAAAAUCCUUAUAAUACUGA
This is a long non-coding RNA of Homo sapiens (human), 1549 nucleotides long. The record is from Ensembl. NCBI's taxonomy places the organism in Eukaryota, Metazoa, Chordata, Mammalia, Primates, Hominidae.